This is a long non-coding RNA of Lactuca sativa (garden lettuce), 950 nucleotides long. RefSeq lists it as uncharacterized. The record is from RefSeq and is a predicted model, not a curated record. Lineage: Eukaryota; Viridiplantae; Streptophyta; Magnoliopsida; Asterales; Asteraceae.
GAUAGUGUGGUGGGAUCUCUCCCACCAAGUGUUCUUCAUUUUCAUAUUGUAACUUUUUGUUUCUAGAAAAAUUAUCGGAUUACUCAUCUCUUAGUGUUCGUUAUAUUUUUGUUGUCAUUAAAUCUCAAGGUCAUAUUAUUCCGCACAAGUUGGUCGUCAAAAUGGACUCCUACAAUUGGUAUCAGAGCUUGAAGAUCUAAGUGAUUAUUUCAAGGGAACAAUUCCCAAUCGACUACUUCUAUCUUGAAGAUUUUUCGAUUUUUGCAUAAAAUUUAUGGGUUCGCAACUAGAGAUUUUAAGAUGAGUUUUCAAUUGUUUGAGUAUUGGUUCAAGCUUUUUUAAAGCUUUCAAGAAUACUUGUUGUUGUUGUCUCGUUCAAAUUUCUGUUGAAAAUCCGGGUUUAAGAAGUUUUUAUAUUGCUGUUAAAGAAAAUGAAGAAGGGAGAAGAUAUUUAUUGUCUAAAAUAUUUGAAGAAUUUGCUCCAGACAUUUUUUUUUGCUAUGGAAUGAAGACGCAAUAUCUUGAGUUUUGUUGAAGAGAUUGGAGAAGAUUUCUUUUUGAAGAAUUUAUCAGCAUAUUUUUUUUUGAGUUCAUCACAGAAGCUUCUGCAGUACUCCUCACUGUGCAAAACCGAAGAUUCACAGUCCUCGCUACUCCUGCAAGACACCGCAACCAGCUACUCUUCAGUGCUCAAUCCUCGCAUAUCGCAGAUGUAACGCCCAGUUUCUGGUUUUGAAGAAGAAGAGACUUGAAGAAUGAGCAAUGAAGUUUUGGAGAAGAGUAGAUCCAGAAGUCUAGCUUCCUUUCUAGUUCAUCAGAGGUACCUCUUCAUCUAAGGGGAAGGAGCCAGCGGCGUAGCAUGGCAUCACACACACACAUUUGAUUUUCCGCACGGUGUCUUCUGGGAUUGUACUCUAAUAUGUUAUUUGCUUAUGUUGUGGGUUUGAAAC